Molecule: ribosomal RNA, 399 nt
Filed under: uncultured bacterium
Lineage: Bacteria
Description: bacterial SSU rRNA
Rfam family: Bacterial small subunit ribosomal RNA
Source: RNAcentral
GACGAACGCUGGCGGCAUGCCUAAUACAUGCAAGUCGAGCGAAUGAUGAAGAAGCUUGCUUCUUCUGAUUUAGCGGCGGACGGGUGAGUAACACGUGGGCAACCUGCCCUGUAGAUUGGGAUAACUCCGGGAAACCGGGGCUAAUACCGAAUAAUCCAUUUCCUCUCAUGGGGAAAUGUUAAAAGACGGUUUCGGCUGUCACUACAGGAUGGGCCCGCGGCGCAUUAGCUAGUUGGUGAGGUAACGGCUCACCAAGGCGACGAUGCGUAGCCGACCUGAGAGGGUGAUCGGCCUCACUGGGACUGAGACACGGCCCAGACUCCUACGGGAGGCAGCAGUGGGGAAUAUUGGACAAUGGGCGAAAGCCUGAUCCAGCCAUGCCGCGUGGGUGAGUGAAGG